ACUGUUGCGGGUUCUUAGGACCAAAGGAGUUUGCCUAUAAUGCCAAAACAAUCGAUGAAAGUUGUUAUUUUAGUGAGAAAUCAGUUGAUAAAACAGUGGUAAUUAUUGAGAAGCAAGUAUUGAAGAGAGUGGGCUGCAAGGAGUAUCUGGUGGACUGGUUUUAUGAAAACAAAGUAAUCUUGAUUGUUGCUCUAGGUACUGUGCUGCUUAUCCAGGUAAUAAAUAUACUUGUUGCUGUCUACCUCGUCAACCAAAAGAAACGUACCCAUAGAAGUUCUUCAGUUCGUGAAAUUCAAAAUCACUCACAUGUCUAACUGCUGUACAUCCACCAAAACUUUAGUGGAAAAAACCAUGUGCUGGACAUCCACCAAACCAUUAGUGGAAAAAAUCAUGUACUGGACAUCCACCAAACCUUUAGUGGAAAAAAUCAUGUGCUGG
Long non-coding RNA from Limulus polyphemus (Atlantic horseshoe crab), 438 nucleotides. RefSeq lists it as uncharacterized. Lineage: Eukaryota; Metazoa; Arthropoda; Merostomata; Xiphosura; Limulidae. The record is from RefSeq and is a predicted model, not a curated record. The transcript has 3 exons.